RNAcentral lists this ribosomal RNA (253 nucleotides) under uncultured bacterium. RNAcentral's name for it is "partial 16S ribosomal RNA". It matches the Rfam family "Bacterial small subunit ribosomal RNA", at positions 524 to 776 of the family's 1533-position model. The record is from RNAcentral.
UACGUAGGCAGCAAGCGUUGUUCGGAAUUACUGGGCGUAAAGAGUGUGUAGGCGGUGUUCUAAGUUUGUCGUGAAAUCUCCCGGCUUAACUGGGAGGGUGCGGCGAAAACUGGAAUGCUAGAGGAUGGGAGAGGUAAGCGGAAUUCCUGGUGUAGCGGUGAAAUGCGUAGAUAUCAGGAGGAACACCGGUGGCGAAGGCGGGUCUCUGGGCAGUAACUGACGCUGAGGAGCGAAAGCGUGGGGAGCGAACAGG